This is an RNA transcript of Strigops habroptila (Kakapo), 1377 nucleotides long. RefSeq lists it as uncharacterized. The record is from RefSeq and is a predicted model, not a curated record. NCBI's taxonomy places the organism in Eukaryota, Metazoa, Chordata, Aves, Psittaciformes, Psittacidae. The transcript is spliced from 3 exons.
UCGGCGCGGCGCUGAAUGCGCUCCAUUAGCAUGAGAAAAGAGGAGCAAAGCUCCGCGCCCAGCAGCUAAAGAGCAGCUCCGCGGGCCGGCGCUGGGAACCCGCUUGAUUAGUGUCUGUCUGGGGGGAAGCUGGGGGAAAGGGAAUUUAUUUGCCUUAAAUCCCGGGGACACGGACACAAACACCACCACCACCCCCCCCCGCCGCAGCCCGCUCGGGGGAUACCGUUUAUCCCGCAAAUCUAAUUAGAGAUCCGCGGGGACGUUGAUGCGGAUGAUGGAGCCCGCGGAGAAACCGGGAAAAUAGGGGGGAAAGGGGGAAAAAUAAGAGGAGAAAAGGGGCUAAAAGGAGGGGAAAGGGGGGGGCUUGCGGGAAAGGGUGGAAAACCACGGGCAAACCCCGCUCGGGUCGGGGUUAGCGGCUGAAGCGCCUGCGAAAGGAGCCGGCGCUUGUCAGGCAGCAGCGGCUUGUUCCCGAAACACCGUUCUGUGGAGGAGGAGGAGGGAAAAUAGGGGGAAAAAAAAGGAGCCGGAGCCCAAAGAGUGGCUCUGCAAUUUAUUCCGAUGGGUGGCUUUUAAGAAGCUGGCAAUUUGAGGCGGCUGGGUGUUAUUUAGUGCAAUAUGAAAUCAAAUGAUCCUAUUUCUGAAAUAACAGUGUCUGGGAGGAGAAGGGAAGGCUCCAGGAAGGGAACUGACUCCUGGGAGCCGGGAGCAGCCCGGCGCCGGUGUCCGCGUCCCGGUCCCCGCUGAAGUCACCUUUCCGCGCCGGAGCCCAGGGAAACUCAACACCAUCAACCUCCGCUUUCCUCUUCAGACAGCAGCAGAUGCUUAGAUGGACACCGGCUAAUUCCUUGUGUCUACAUUGUAGAAACAGGAGCGACUCUGAAUUACUGGGAAAGCAGAGGCCUGAAAUCUGCCAGCCAUCCCCUCCAGACCUCUGGCCAUGGAAAAGCCAGGUCACAGCUGGUCCCUUCUGGUCUUGGAGCCUCCUGUGCCAUGGAGGAGGCUCAAAAAGCACUCAGAUGGCAUGUGCUUGUAUCUAAAUUCUCCAGGAUUAAUUCGAACUUCACCGACAAUGACAUUACCAGGGACUGUUCAAUUAUGUCAACAGGCUUUGGAUAAGGCCCUUGUGUUCUUAAUAAACGUUAUAUAGUUUUAAAUGCUGUAGUCUUGUUCUUAAGGUUCUUAUUCAAUCAGCCGUUACCAUCGGCUCCGGUGUUAACACUUCACCUGUCGUCCAACAGCAGAACCCUCCUCCAUCAGCCAGGCAGUGUGCUGUCUAUCUAUACCUCAGAACAUGUAAUAGCAGGUUUCCAGGAACUGUAACAUUUAAUAAAAGCCUUUUAUUGCCUUUAAAUUUAUUAAAAUUUAAACAUUAAA